RNAcentral lists this ribosomal RNA (255 nucleotides) under uncultured bacterium. RNAcentral's name for it is "partial 16S ribosomal RNA". It matches the Rfam family "Bacterial small subunit ribosomal RNA", at positions 524 to 776 of the family's 1533-position model. The record is from RNAcentral.
UACGAAGGGGGGCUAGCGUUGUUCGGAAUCACUGGGCGUAAAGGGCGCGUAGGCGGCUUUAUAAGUCGGGGGUGAAAGCCUGUGGCUCAACCACAGAAUUGCCUUCGAUACUGUAGAGCUUGAGACCGGAAGAGGUAAGUGGAACUGCGAGUGUAGAGGUGAAAUUCGUAGAUAUCGGAAGGAACACCGGUGGCGAAGGCGGCGCGCUGGAUCUCUUCUGACGCUGAGGCGCGAAAAGCCAGGGGAGCAAACGGG